Molecule: ribosomal RNA, 1113 nt
Filed under: Vibrio sp. 8412M
Lineage: Bacteria; Pseudomonadati; Pseudomonadota; Gammaproteobacteria; Vibrionales; Vibrionaceae
Description: bacterial SSU rRNA
Rfam family: Bacterial small subunit ribosomal RNA
Source: RNAcentral
AGCCUGAUGCGCCAUGCCGCGUGUAUGAAGAAGGCCUUCGGGUUGUAAAGUACUUUCAGUUGUGAGGAAGGUUUCGUAGUUAAUAACUGCGUUGCUUGACGUUAGCAACAGAAGAAGCACCGGCUAACUCCGUGCCAGCAGCCGCGGUAAUACGGAGGGUGCGAGCGUUAAUCGGAAUUACUGGGCGUAAAGCGCAUGCAGGUGGUUUGUUAAGUCAGAUGUGAAAGCCCGGGGCUCAACCUCGGAAGGUCAUUUGAAACUGGCAAACUAGAGUACUGUAGAGGGGGGUAGAAUUUCAGGUGUAGCGGUGAAAUGCGUAGAGAUCUGAAGGAAUACCAGUGGCGAAGGCGGCCCCCUGGACAGAUACUGACACUCAGAUGCGAAAGCGUGGGGAGCAAACAGGAUUAGAUACCCUGGUAGUCCACGCCGUAAACGAUGUCUACUUGGAGGUUGUGGCCUUGAGCCGUGGCUUUCGGAGCUAACGCGUUAAGUAGACCGCCUGGGGAGUACGGUCGCAAGAUUAAAACUCAAAUGAAUUGACGGGGGCCCGCACAAGCGGUGGAGCAUGUGGUUUAAUUCGAUGCAACGCGAAGAACCUUACCUACUCUUGACAUCCAGAGAAUUUUCCAGAGAUGGAUUAGUGCCUUCGGGAACUCUGAGACAGGUGCUGCAUGGCUGUCGUCAGCUCGUGUUGUGAAAUGUUGGGUUAAGUCCCGCAACGAGCGCAACCCUUAUCCUUGUUUGCCAGCACGUAAUGGUGGGAACUCCAGGGAGACUGCCGGUGAUAAACCGGAGGAAGGUGGGGACGACGUCAAGUCAUCAUGGCCCUUACGAGUAGGGCUACACACGUGCUACAAUGGCGCAUACAGAGGGCAGCGAACUUGCGAAAGUAAGCGAAUCCCAAAAAGUGCGUCGUAGUCCGGAUUGGAGUCUGCAACUCGACUCCAUGAAGUCGGAAUCGCUAGUAAUCGUGGAUCAGAAUGCCACGGUGAAUACGUUCCCGGGCCUUGUACACACCGCCCGUCACACCAUGGGAGUGGGCUGCAAAAGAAGUAGGUAGUUUAACCUUCGGGAGGACGCUUACCACUUUGUGGUCAUGACUGGGUGAUCGUU